CUUCAUUUUUGUUUGUUGAAUAAAAUUUAUAUCAGAUCUCAUGAAUUUUACAAACUAAUUCAAAUGUCACUAUGAAAUUCAAAAUGAAUAAUACAUAGAUACUCUGAUUUUUCAUUAAUUCAUUGAAUGUAAUUUGUCAUUGACGAGAAUAAAGUAAAGAGAAAAUAAAGAGAAUGAAUGACAUAAAAAUAUAGAAAAGUAUACUUACUUAUAUAAAAGGUGACUUUUGAAAUUUAUAACUUGACACAGAAUUCUUGCAUCCAGUUCUUUUUGUUUUAUAUCGAACAUUACAUAUACCGAACUCAUAUAUUUAAAUUGGUCCUGUAACUUCCAGAGGUUAUACACAUCAUGGAUUUCUCUGUCGGCCAUCAAUUGAAUGUUCACUAGGAAAUUUUUGAAACUUUCCAAGUAAUCCAUGCCAAACUUUAUAAUGUAGUUAUACUCCAUAAGGAAGCAUUCAUCUUAUUCAUCUUCGGUCAUGCCCGCGUGCCAAGUUGUUGUAUUCAUUUUUAAAAGAUGUUGAAGAAGGUACGUUUAUAGAAUCAGAAAACCUGAAAAAAAUAAACAUUUUAGUUUAGUAAUUGAACCGGUAUUUUAAUUCCUCGUGUUCUCACUAUUCAUUACGGCAAUAUGUUGUAAUUUUCGAAACAGAAAACAUUUCAGUGAUUAUAUUCCUGAUGAAAUUACUGUUCUGGGGUUAGAUCUAAACCACGAGGUAAACCCAUGUAGUCUAACAUAAUAUUCAUAAUUUCCUCACUUUCAUAAUAGAGUGUAAAAAAUUUUUGCCGAAAUUCGAUUUUCGAUUUCUUUAAAUAUUCAUUACCCGGCAUUCUUGGUUCCACUUCUUCUUUUUUUAUGUCAUACAAUGCAUAUAUCGAACUCAUAUAUUUAAAUUUGUCCUGUAAUAUCGAGAGGUUAUACACAUCAUGGAUUUCUCUAUCGGCCAUCAAUUGCAUAUUCACUAGGAAAUUUUUGAAACUUUCCAAGUAAUCCAUGCCAGACUUUAUAAUGUAGUUAUACUCCAUAAGGAAGCAUUCAUCUUCGGUCAUGCCAGCGUGCCAAAUUGUUGCAUUCAUUUUUAAAAGAUGUUGAAGAAGGUACGUUUAUAGAAUCAGAAAACCUGAAAAAAAUAAACAUUUUAGUUUAGUAAUUGAACCGGUAUUUUAAUUCCUCGUGUUCUCACUAUUCAUUACGGCAAUAUGUUGUAAUUUUCGAAUCAGAAAACAUUUCAGUGAUUAUAUUCCUGAUGAAAUUACUGUUCUGGGGUUAGAUCUAAACCACGCGGUAAACCCAUGUAGUCAAACAUAAUAUUCAUAAUUUCCUCACUUUCAUAAUAGAGUGUAAAAAAUUUUUGCCGAAAUUCGAUUUUCGAUUUCUUCAUUACCCGGAAUUCUUGGUUCCACUUCUUCUUUUUUUAUGUCAUAGAAUGCAUAUAUCGAACUCAUAUAUUUAAAUUUGUCCUGUAAUAUCGAGAGGUUAUACACAUCAUGGAUUUCUCUAUCGGCAAUCAAUUGCAUAUUCACUAGGAAAUUUUUGAAACUGUCCAAGUAAUCCAUGCCAGACUUUAUAAUGUAGUUAUACUCCAUAAGGAAGCAUUCAUCUUCGGUCAUGCCAGCGUGCCAAAUUGUUGCAUUCAUUUUUAAAAGAUGUUGAAGAAGGUACGUUUAUAGAAUCAGAAAACCUGAAAAAAAUAAACAUUUUAGUUUAGUAAUUGAACCGGUAUUUUAAUUCCUCGUGUUCUCACUAUUCAUUACGGCAAUAUGUUGUAAUUUUCGAAUCAGAAAACAUUUCAGUGAUUAUAUUCCUGAUGAAAUUACUGUUCUGGGGUUAGAUCUAAACCACGCGGUAAACCAAUGUAGUCAAACAUAAUAUUCAUUAUUUCCUCACUUUCAUAAUAGAGUGUAAAAAAUUUUUGCCGAAAUUCGAUUUUCGAUUUCUUUAAAUAUUCAUUACCCGGCAUUCUUGGUUCCACUUCUUCUUUUUUUAUGUCAUACAAUGCAUAUAUCGAACUCAUAUAUUUAAAUUUGUCCUGUAAUAUCGAGAGGUUAUAUACAUCAUGGAUUUCUCUAUCGGCCAUCAAUUGCAUAUUCACUAGGAAAUUUUUGAAACUUUCCAAGUAAUCCAUGCCAAACUUUAUAAUGUAGUUAUACUCCAUAAGGAAGCAUUCAUCUUCGGUCAUGCCCGCGUGCCAAGUUGUUGCAUUCAUUUUUAAAAGAUGUUGAAGAAGGUACGUUUAUAGAAUCAGAAAACCUGAAAAAAAUAAACAUUUUAGUUUAGUAAUUGAACUGGAAUUUUAAUUCCUCGUGUUCUCACUAUUCAUUACGGCAAUAUGUUGUAAUUUUCGAAUCAGAAAACAUUUCAGUGAUUAUAUUCCUGAUGGAAUUACUGUUCUGGGGUUAGAUCUAAACCACGCGGUAAACCCAUGUAGUCAAACAUAAUAUUCAUAAUUUCCUCACUUUCAUAAUAGAGUGUAAAAAUUUUUGCCGAAAUUCGAUUUUCGAUUUCUUCAUUACCCGGAAUUCUUGGUUCCACUUCUUCUUUUUUUAUGUCAUACAAUGCAUAUAUCGAACUCAUAUAUUUAAAUUUGUCCUGUAAUAUCGAGAGGUUAUACACAUCAUGGAUUUCUCUAUCGGCAAUCAAUUGCAUAUUCACUAGGAAAUUUUUGAAACUUUCUAAGAAAUCCAUGCUAGACUUUUUAAUGUAGUUAUACUACAUAAGGAAGCAUUCAUCUUCGGUCAUGCCCGCGUGCCAAGUUGUUGCAUUCAUUUUUAUAAGAUGUUGAAGAAGGUACGUUUAUAGAAUCAGAAAACCUGAAAAAAAUAAACAUUUUAGUUUAGUAAUUGAACCGGUAUUUUAAUUCCUCAUGUUCUCACUAUUCAUUACGACAAUAUGAUGUAAUUUUCGAAUCAGAAAACAUUUCAGUGAUUAUAUUCACUAACUAUUCACUGAGUGAUCUUCAUUUUUGUUUGUUGAAUAAAAUUUAUAUCAGAUCUCAUGAAUUUUACAAACUAAUUCAAAUAUUACUAUAAAAUUCAAAAUGAAUAAUACAUAGAUACUCUGAUUUUUCAUUAAUUCAUUGAAUUGUAAUUUUGUUGGAGCUCAAAAUGAAUUUUUGCAAUUAGCGGAAAAAACUUCUCAAGUUCUAACUAUUGAGUAGUAUUUCAGCCCUCCAACGGGCACCCAUUAUAUCACUAUAUAAAAAUAAGUGGGGUUUUCCUUCCAGAACGCACGAACCGAUUUCCACGGUUUUGCAUUCGUUGGAAAGGUCUCGGGCUCCGUGAGGUUUAUAGCGAAGAGAAUUCAGGAAAAAUUUCAACAGAAAAGCGGGAAAAUCGUUUUUCACAUACAGCGCCAAUCGCUUAGUGUUUGCGGGAUAAAUUUAGAAAAUCAUUGUUUUUCACAUGGGCAGUUAUACGUUGGAAAGGUCUUGGGCUCCGUGAGGUUUAUAGCAAAGAAAAUUCAUCAAAAAUUUCAACAGAAAAGCAAGAAAACCAUUUUUCACAAACAGCGCCAAUCGCUUAGUGUUUGCGGGAUAAAUUUAGAAAAUCAUUGUUUUUCACAUGGGCAGUUAUACGUUGGAAAGGUCUCGGGCUCCGUGAGGUUUAUAGCAAAGAAAAUUCAUCAAAAAUUUCAACAGAAAAGCAAGAAAACCAUUUUUCACAAACAGCGCCAAUCGCUUAGUGUUUGCGGGAUAAAUUUAGAAAAUCAUUGUUUUUCACAUGGACAGUUAUACGUUGGGUGUUCACGAGUUGGGAAACCAUCCGCUUUGUUUGUGUUAACGUCAGACCAAAAAACAAAAAAUGUGGUUUACCAAAGAGCACUUCAAUGAAACGGAUAAUUUGCGGACACGUAUAACGCUUCGAUUCAGUAUUUACUUUGGAUUCACUUUCAUUUACUUAGAGAAGUUCAACUAAAUAACACUUCAUUUUUUUAAUCGAAAUGAAUUCAUUACUGUUGUGAAAUGAAAUAAAAUUUUUCCUUUUCAAAUAUAAAACAAACAAAAAUUUUCUUCAUCUUUUAAUUACCAAACGAAAUGUUACAUAAAACGAAGCCAUCUGGGGGCGAAACGGAGUUCGCCGGGUUUGCUAGUCAUUCAUAUAUUUUUGAUGAAGGUUCGAUAAUUUCAGGAAUGAUCAUGAAAUAUAUCUCUGUCAACAUUUACUAUUUGCCCUUUAGUCAAAUUCUUUUCGAUAACUACCAAUUGUGUUAUACACUAUUAUUGACAUUGAGUAGCUGAAUAAAAACUUGUUUUUUCUUUUAAUUCUGAAUUUAAUGAUAACUUGUACAUGUGAACCAAAUAGGUAAUCAAUUCAUCGGUCUUGCCGAAGCAGGCGUAAAAAUCACGGGCGUAGCCAGGGGGGGGUUUUGGGGGUUCAAACCCCCCCCCUCCCGCUUACGCUCGUCCUGGAAUUUUGUCUAUUCGUCCAAAAAAACCCUAUUUUCCGGACUUGUUACGUAAAUUACUAUUUUUUCUAUUUUUUUCUCUCACUAAGUGAGAAUUCAAAAAUAUAUUUUUCAUUUAAUGAAAUUAAAUGAUUAAUGGUGACUUACGUGGUAAUCUCAAAAUUGCAGGUUAUCAUUAAUUUUUUUCUUUUUCCUAUUUUCUUUAGAAAACCCAUGGGGGUUUUGGUGGGCGGCUAUGUUAGUGCAAUAUUUCAUUUUUUUGUUCAUUUUAUUAUUCAUAUGCACCACGGUUCUCGAGGGGCACUGUGCGCAUGUGAGGUGCGCGGUUAUAUGAAUCUCAUAUAUAGGUUUCCUUCUUUUUCGCUAAUUUUCAAGUGUUCAAGCUACAAAAUUACCUUUUCAUUUAACAAGACUAUUGGUGUUGGUGUUGAAGUUCCAGAUAAGAGGGGAUCCCCAAGCACAGGAGAAUUAUUAUCGAGGGUUUUCUUAUUCAAAUACACGUACUUUCUUCAACAUAAACAAAAAAGAACUGUCCAGUCAAAUCCAAAAAGGAUAAAACAGAAGCAAAUAAAUUGAAACAAAUGGUGACAAAGACGUUGAAUGAAGCAAUUGAAGAAGAUCUUCGUGCUAAAGUUGAAUCCAAUAUCAAACUCUCCAAAGCUCAAGGAGCCGGGGCGAAGUACCAUUCUACUAAAACUGAAUAAUGGUAUAACGAAAAUGUGAAUCCUUGUUUGGACUAGGUGAGACGAUAGAAACAUGGGUUUACCGCAUGGUUUAGAUCUUACCCCAGAAGAGUAAUUUCAUUAGAAAUUAUCUAACCAUCAUCAUAUAAAUUCCAAAAGUACACCUUUUAUGAAAGUUACCUAUUAUACCAAUGAAUGCAACAACUUGGCAUGAAGGCAAGACCGAAGAGGAAUGCGUCCUCAUGGAGUAUAAAUACAUUGAAAAAUCUAGUAUAGAUUUCUUAGAAACAUUAGAAAAUUUCCUAGUAAAUAUUAAAUUGAUAGACGAGAGAGAAAUCCAUGAUGUUUUUAUAAUCUGUUAGUUACAGUACCAAUUCAAUUCGAUGUGUUCGGUAUUCGUAAUGUUCGAUAUAAAACAAAAAGAACUGGAAGAAACAAUGCCGGGAAAUGAAUAUUUGCUGAAAUCGAAAGACGAAUUUUGGCAAGAAUAUCUUGUACUGUUCUGUGAAACUGAGGAAAGCAAAGUUGCCCGGUGAUAUUAAGAAGAACAAAAAAGAAGGAGCAGCAAUAACCAAAAAAAAAAGAACUGUACAGUCAAAUCCAAAAAGGAUAAAACAGAAGCAAAUAAAUUGAAACAAAUGGUGAGAAAGACGUUGAAUAAAGCAAUUGAAGAAGAUCUUCGUGCUAAAGUUGAAUCCAAUAUCAAACUCUCCAAAGCUCAAGGAGCCGUGGCGAAGUACCAUUCUACUAAAACUGAAUAAUGGUAUAACGAAAAUGUGAAUCCUUGUUUGGACUAGGUGAGAAGAUAGAAACAUGGGUUUACCGCAUGGUUUAGAUCUUACGCCAGAAGAGUAAUUUCAUCAGAAAUUGUCUAACCAUCAUCAUAUAAAUUCCAAAAUUACACCUUUUAUAGAAGUUACCUAUUAUACCAAUGAAUGCAACAACUUGGCAUGAAGGCAAGACCGAAGAUGAAUGCGUCCUUAUGGAGUAUAAAUACAUUGAAAAAUCUAGUAUAGAUUUCUAAGAAACAUUAUAAAAUUUCCUAGUAUCAUUUAUUUCAUAUAUAGUUCCGAUUUAAUUAUAUUUUCGUAUAUUU
Harmonia axyridis is the source of this 6183-nucleotide long non-coding RNA. RefSeq lists it as uncharacterized. The record is from RefSeq and is a predicted model, not a curated record. The transcript is spliced from 4 exons. Lineage: Eukaryota; Metazoa; Arthropoda; Insecta; Coleoptera; Coccinellidae.